UGCCUGCCUCAGAUGCAGUGUCUUGGGAGCUCUGGAAACAGGUUGCUUUAGACCUUGGAAAUUUUAAGGGCCUUCUCAUCUGAGCUGCUAGGAGACUCUCCAGUUUACCUUCAGAUGAUGUAUACAGUAUAUCCCGUCAUCAGUCCUGCUCGUGCUUUUAAAACAGUGGAUGCAUAUCAGCAAUACGUGGCAAUGAGAUGGAUGCUGCUGAACGAGGCUACCUUCAUCCCAGUCAGCAUGACAUUGAGACACUGCGCAAGCACAGGGCAGGAUAAUCCAUUGCUCUGAGGAGCCAACACUUUAAUUUAAAGAUUCUCCUAAAGUAUUAUGUAAAUAAUGGAAACAAAAUGCUGAUUAUUCAAGAAACAAAAGCGAAUUCCAGUGAUGUAACACAUGCAGACUGCUAGAGCUGGAAGAGAGUGAAUAUUUUUUAAAAGCUGUGUGAUUGUGUAACUGAAUUGAAAGGAUUAGAUACGAGAAUUCACAAAUAUUCAGGCAAAUACUCAAUGUGUUGAUUUAUUUAAGAGAAGAUGCCUGAGACUGAUGGCCAUGAUCCAAGAUUAUUAAGAAUGAUCAACUCAUUGCAAAACAUUUAAGUGGGUGAUAACUUGGUGACCAGUCUCAGAUGGUGCUGGUCUCUCACGGACACGUCACCUUGUUGUAGUAACUGCUAGAGCUUUGAAUAUGAAAAAAGCCUGUACUCUACAGUACAUAUAGAUUAGUAAUGUGAGGUAAUGCCAAGAGACGGGAUCUUUACCCCACCCAUUGCCUGUAUUUGUUUUUUAACUCUGCGGACCCUAUAUUUUAUUUGGGAAAGCUAAGUAUUAUCUCUAUAGCAAUAUUAAUAAAUAGUUGUUACUGGUUGUCCAGGUUCACCUAGACUUGAAGACAGAGCUUGACACUUACAGAGAAAAUGUUGUUCGCUACAGAACAUUUGACACAAGUACUGACAUCUAAAGCUAAUGCAGAUGGCAGGAUUGGAGUGGUGUGCAGACCUCAGAAAAGGUCUGAGAGGAGAAGUGAAAAUCUACAUAUUUGUGUCUGUGCAUGUAUAUUUGCAUAUAUGUGUGUCUGUAUACACUAACACAAAUUCUAUCUACUUGUGAUAAGUGGAGAUAAAACAGGUGUUUUUGCUGACUUUAUUGAUUCUUGAGGACACAAAGUAUUUUUUUUUCCUAUUUUAUGUUGGGUUAUUUUUUAUAUAGAGUUCACAUGUAUGGUGCAGCUUUGUUGGAGUAUUGG
Rhea pennata is the source of this 1242-nucleotide long non-coding RNA. RefSeq lists it as uncharacterized. The record is from RefSeq and is a predicted model, not a curated record. NCBI's taxonomy places the organism in Eukaryota, Metazoa, Chordata, Aves, Rheiformes, Rheidae. The transcript is spliced from 4 exons.